AGAGUUUGAUCCUGGCUCAGAAUGAACGCUGGCGGCAUGGCUAAGACAUGCAAGUCGAACGGACCAUUUAAUUUAUUAGAUGGUUAGUGGCGAAAGGGUGAGGAAUAAAUAGGUAACGUAUCUUUGGCUUCAGAAUAGCGUCUAGGUGCUUGCACCUUUCCGAAAGGGGCAUUAAUACUGAAUAAUAUCACUUCCUUAACUAGUUGUGAUCAAAGAUUUAUCGGCUUUUGAGCGGCCUAUUUCCUAUCAGCUAGUUGGUGAGGUAAUGGCUCACCAAGGCGACGACGGGUAGCGGGACUGAGAGGUUGGCCCGCCACAUCGGGACUGAGACACUGCCCGGACCUCCACGGAGGGCUGCAGUAACGAAUAUUGGGCAAUGGGCGAAAGCCUGACCCAGCAAUGCCGCGUGCAGGAUGAAGCCUUUCGGGGUGUAAACUGCUUUCAGGGAUUAGAAAGCUACGGUUGAUCAAUCCCAGAAGAAGUCACGGCUAACUUCGUGCCAGCAGCCGCGGUAAUACGAAGGUGGCAAGCGUUAUUCGAAAUCACUGGGCUUAAAGGGCGCGUAGGCGGACAUGACAGUACUUUGUGAAAUCCCUCGGCUUAACCGAGGAAUUGCGAAGUAUACUACAUGUCUUGAGGCAAGUAGGGGUGUGUGGAACUCUUGGUGGAGCGGUGGAAUGCGUAGAUAUCAAGAGGAACGCCGAAGGUGAAGACAGCACACUGGGCUUGUACUGACGCUGAGGCGCGAGAGCGUGGGGAGCAAACAGGAUUAGAUACCCUGGUAGUCCACGCCGUAAACGAUGUCUACUAGGUUGCGGGGGUUCUGACACCGUCGCAGUCGUAGCAAAAGUAUUAAGUAGACCGCCUGGGGAGUACGGUCGCAAGGCUAAAACUCAAAGGAAUUGACGGGGGCUCACAAGCGGUGGAGCAUGUGGAUUAAUUCGAAACAACGCGCAGAACCUUACCUGGGUUUGACAUGUUUGGAUGCUUGCCGGGAAACCGGUUAAGCUGCCUUAGGGUGAAACUUACACAGGUGCUGCAUGGCUGUCGUCAGCUCGUGUCGUGAGAUGUCGGGUUAAGUCCUUUAACGAGCGAAACCCUUACCGUUAGUUGCCAGCGCGUCAUGGCGGGGACUCUAGCGGGACUGCCGGUGUCAAACCGGAGGAAGGCGGGGAUGACGUCAAGUCCUCAUGGCCUUUAUGCCCAGGGCUUCACACGUGCUACAAUGGCAGGUACAGAGCGACGCGAUACCGCGAGGUGGAGCAAAUCGCAAAAAAACCUGCCCCAGUUCAGAUUGCAGGCUGUCAACUCGCCUGCAUGAAGGUGGAAUCGCUAGUAAUCGCGUAUCAGCGAUGACGCGGUGAAUGUGUUCCUGAGCCUUGUACACACCGCCCGUCAAGUGAUGGGAGUUGGGAGUACCCGAAGUCGGAUUGCUAACUUGUAAAAGAGGCGUCUGCCGACGGUAAGCUCGAUGACUGGCACUAAGUCGUAACAAGGUA
This 1499-nucleotide ribosomal RNA is filed under the name metagenome. Its description in RNAcentral is "bacterial SSU rRNA". It matches the Rfam family "Bacterial small subunit ribosomal RNA". The record is from RNAcentral.